UUGCCCCUUCGCCAAGCGGUAAGGCAUCGGUUUUUGGUACCGACAUGCGCUGGUUCGAAUCCAGCAGGGGCAAUCCA
Molecule: transfer RNA, 77 nt
Filed under: Leuconostoc pseudomesenteroides
Lineage: Bacteria; Bacillati; Bacillota; Bacilli; Lactobacillales; Lactobacillaceae
Description: tRNA-Gln(ttg)
Rfam family: tRNA
About the family: Transfer RNA (tRNA) molecules are approximately 80 nucleotides in length. Their secondary structure includes four short double-helical elements and three loops (D, anti-codon, and T loops). Further hydrogen bonds mediate the characteristic L-shaped molecular structure. tRNAs have two regions of fundamental functional importance: the anti-codon, which is responsible for specific mRNA codon recognition, and the 3' end, to which the tRNAs corresponding amino acid is attached (by aminoacyl-tRNA synthetases). tRNAs cope with the degeneracy of the genetic code in two manners: having more than one tRNA (with a specific anti-codon) for a particular amino acid; and 'wobble' base-pairing, i.e. permitting non-standard base-pairing at the 3rd anti-codon position.
Source: RNAcentral